Molecule: ribosomal RNA, 400 nt
Filed under: uncultured bacterium
Lineage: Bacteria
Description: bacterial SSU rRNA
Rfam family: Bacterial small subunit ribosomal RNA
Source: RNAcentral
UGGGGAAUAUUGGACAAUGGGGGCAACCCUGAUCCAGCGAUGCCGCGUGGGUGAAGAAGGCCUUCGGGUUGUAAAGCCCUUUAGGUUGGGAAGAAGUAGCCUAGUUGAAUAGACUAGGUUGUUGACGGUACCGACAGAAUAAGCACCGGCAAACUCUGUGCCAGCAGCCGCGGUAAUACAGAGGGUGCAAGCGUUAAUCGGAGUUACUGGGCGUAAAGGGCGCGUAGGCGGUAAAGUGAGUGUGAUGUGAAAGCCCUGGGCUUAACCUAGGAAGUGCAUCGCAAACGGCUUUACUGGAGUAUAAGAGAGGGUGGCGGAAUUUCCGGUGUAGCGGUGAAAUGCGUAGAGAUCGGAAGGAACGUCAAUGGCGAAGGCAGCCACCUGGCUUAAUACUGACGCU